This 1597-nucleotide unclassified non-coding RNA is filed under the name Leishmania donovani. RNAcentral's name for it is "gene:LdHU3.34.6110(CDS-product:nucleolar_protein_ family_a_member-like_protein)". The record is from RNAcentral. Lineage: Eukaryota; Euglenozoa; Kinetoplastea; Trypanosomatida; Trypanosomatidae.
CGGCUCUCUUGUGAUCCCUUUUCGCCUCGACCGCUCACACGCGUGUCAACGUCGCCAUUAAGCGCGCGCCUUGUCUUCCCUUCAGCGGUCACGUAGACGUCUCGAUUUGUGCGUGCGGCUCGUGCGUCUUUGUCCAGCGCUGAGGCUCUUGCGCUGAAGUACGGUGCCGACGUUGCUUCUUCUGCGUACAGCUCGUGCACGCUCUCAGACGAAGCCCUUCCACCUUUGUUUCGCCGCCGUUUCACAGCUGCUUCCUCGACACCCCAUCCCAUCCCCUUAUCCGAUUGUCAUCAUGCCCCAGGACGAGCAAGCGAAGGCGGCCGAGGAGUACGACUACGAUCGGGAGCUCUACCGCUGCCCCAUCUCGUGGCCCAUCACCUCCGACAAGCCCAAGAUGACUAAGAAGGUGUACUCCCUCAUCAAGAAGACAGUCACUGCGAACAAGAAGAGGGGCAUCGUGAAGGGCAUCAAGGAUGUUACCAAGGCGAUUCGCAAGGGCCAGAAAGGUAUCCUCGUUCUCGGCGCGGAUGCGUCUCCGUACGACGUGGUGUCGCACUUUCCUGUCAUGGCGGAGGAGGCUAAGAUUCCGUAUGUGUGGGUGCCUUCGCGGCAGGACCUAGGCACGGCCACCCAAUGCAAGCGUGCAACCUCCGUCGUGCUGCUGAAGGUGAACGAAGAACUGAAGUCGAGCUAUGACAAAAUCGUGCUCGCCAUCGAGGACCUGAACUCGGAGGAGUAGGUGAUGACGCUGCCGCAACGACGUCGAGCCUGCGCAGCAGUGUGAGAUUGUGAGAUGCGGGUAAGGGGAAAGGGUGUGGAAGUAACAGAUGACGUCUGUGACGUUCCCUUUCUCUUUCCUGGUGAGAAGUUACGCUGGAAAGAGGAGAGCAGCGCCAAGUAACAAAACCAACAUCAACAAACAUCAGCGCCUUCACAUUUGGAGGAGACGAGAUGCAAAUGCCGCACAGACCGUGUGUGCACAUUCUUCAUCACGCCGAUCAUCUCCGCUUCCGUUUUCUUCGUUUUUCUUUACUUGUUGCCAUCGCCUCUCGCGAGCAAGAGCGGUGAGGGACCCGGUAGGGGGUGCGAAGCAGGCAUGCUGCGCUGAUGAGUGGAUUGCCUCCCUCCUCUCUCCAUGUCAUCUUUUUCGCAACCACCUCCUUUGCGAUAAUGCUGGUUUCUACUUUCGUUAUUGUCGUGUGAAGCUGAAAAGCGUGCUGCUGCGUCCCUUGGGAUGUCGUCUUGUACAUCUGUGCGCGGGGGUGGUUGUCUGUAAGGGCGGUUUUUCAGUGAGCCGAGGUGUCCAGCUUGCACUGCCGCGUAUGCCUAUUGGUUUGGUGUUAACAUGGACGAUUUAACUGGACAAGUCAUUAUCAUCUUUUUUUUUUGGUUCGAAUGCACCGAGGCGGGCGUGACCCCUUGCCGAGGCGCAAAUUUGCGUGGCCAGACAUGGAAGCGCGUCGAAGGGGCAGCGCCCACGACUCUCUCUCUCUCUCCUGUUGCACCUUUGCGUGCAGCAGUCGAGCUAUAUAUCGCAUGUGCAGCUGACGUGACCGUUGCGCGGCCAGCGCCUUCCCGUAUGACACGUGUUGCGCAG